UACGUAGGGCGCAAGCGUUGUCCGGAAUUAUUGGGCGUAAAGAGCUCGUAGGCGGCUUGUCACGUCGGGUGUGAAAUCUUGGAGCUUAACUCCGAAACUGCAUUCGAUACUGCCGUGCUUGAGGACUGGAGAGGAGACUGGAAUUUACGGUGUAGCGGUGAAAUGCGUAGAUAUCGUAAGGAAGACCAGUGGCGAAGGCGGGUCUCUGGACAGUUCCUGACGCUGAGGCACGAAGGCCAGGGGAGCAAACGGG
This 253-nucleotide ribosomal RNA is filed under the name uncultured bacterium. RNAcentral describes it as "partial 16S ribosomal RNA". It matches the Rfam family "Bacterial small subunit ribosomal RNA", at positions 524 to 776 of the family's 1533-position model. The record is from RNAcentral.